RNAcentral lists this unclassified non-coding RNA (262 nucleotides) under plant metagenome. RNAcentral's name for it is "partial contains small subunit ribosomal RNA, internal transcribed spacer 1, and 5.8S ribosomal RNA". The record is from RNAcentral.
UUUCCUAGGUGAACCUGCGGAAGGAUCAUUAUUGUAUAACCGAGGUGCGAGGGCUGUCGCUGACCCGAAAGGUCGUGCACGCCCGAGUGCCCUCACACACAUCCAUCUCACCCCUAUGUGCACCACCGCGUGGGUCCCCCUUUGGCUUGUUCGGAGGGGGGCUUACGUUUUCACACAAACUUUGUAUGCAGUGUAGAAUGUAUUUUUUGUUUUUGCGAUCACGCAAUCAAUACAACUUUCAACAACGGAUCUCUUGGCUCUC